Molecule: long non-coding RNA, 2549 nt
Filed under: Cucumis sativus (cucumber)
Lineage: Eukaryota; Viridiplantae; Streptophyta; Magnoliopsida; Cucurbitales; Cucurbitaceae
Description: long non-coding RNA (CSAT_LNC001741)
Source: RNAcentral
AAAUCACAGAUAACUACUAGGAGGCCUCACUCUGAGUAAUAUCAAAGUUUUUUCCCACAAGAACCGCUCGGAGAUGCCCGGACUCAGUUUUUAUUUUCGUCCCAAUACUUUUCUUCCAAUGGACUAGUUGUGUUUCUUUGAUCUUGUGCAACCUCUUUAGGCCGAUGAUAGCCAGCGGAUAGGUGUGGAAACCCAUCUAUAUUGCACCCAGUACGACACAGAAAAAAAGCCCAGGGGCCUAGGGGUCGGGUGGGGCUCGUUCGGGUGCACAACGGUUGCGCCAAAAACGGUCCAAAAAUGGCCAAGGCUUUACCAUACGAAAAAUCGGUCCGAUUUUUAACCAUGUGAGAAACGUCCCGAAAAUUCACAGAUAACUACUAGGAGGCCUCACUCUGAGUAAUAUCAAAGUUUUUUCCCACAAGAACCGCUCGGAAUGCCCGGACUCAGUUUUAUUUUCGUCCCAAUACUUUUCUUCCAAUGACUAGUUUGUUUCUUUGAUCUUGUGCAACCUCUUUAGCCGAUGAUAGCCCGGAUAGGUGUGGAAACCCAUCUAUAUUGCACCCAGUACGACACAGAAAAAAAGCCCAGGGCCUAGGGUCGUGGGGCUCGUUCGGGUGCACAACGGUUGCGCCAAAAACGGUCCAAAAAUGGCCAAGGCUUUACCAUACGAAAAAUCGGCCGAUUUUUAACCAUGUGACAAACGUCCCGAAAUUCACAGAUAACUACUAGGAGGCCUCACUCUGAGUAAUAUCAAAGUUUUUUCCCACAAGAACCGCUCGGAGAUGCCCGGACUCAGUUUUUAUUUUCGUCCCAAUACUUUUCUUCCAAUGACUAGUUGUGUUUCUUUGAUCUUGUGCAACCUCUUUAGGCCGAUGAUAGCCCCGGAUAGUGUGGAAACCCAUCUAUAUUGCACCCAGUACGACACAGAAAAAAAGCCCAGGGCCUAGGGUCGGGUGGGGCUCGUUCGGGGUGCACAACGGUUGCGCCAAAAAACGUCCAAAAAUGGCCAAGCUUUACCAUACGAAAAAUCGGUCCGAUUUUUAACCAUGUGAGAAACGUCCCGAAAAUUCACAGAUAACUACUAGGAGGCCUCACUCUGAGUAAUAUCAAAGUUUUUCCCACAAGAACCGCUCGGAGAUGCCCGACUCAGUUUUUUAUUUUCGUCCCAAUACUUUCUUCCAAUGGACUAGUUGUGUUUCUUUGAUCUUGUGCAACCUCUUUAGGCCGAUGAUAGCCCGCGGAUAGUGUGAAACCCAUCUAUAUUGCACCCAGUACGACACAGAAAAAAAGCCCAGGCCUAGGGGUCGGGUGGGCUCGUUCGGGGUGCACAACGGUUGCGCCAAAAACGGUCCAAAAAUGGCCAAGGCUUUACCAUACGAAAAAUCGGCCGAUUUUUAACCAUGUGAGAAACGUCCCGAAAAUUCACAGAUAACUACUAGGAGGCCUCACUCUGAGUAAUAUCAAAGUUUUUUCCCACAAGAACCGCUCGGAGAUGCCCGACUCAGUUUUAUUUUCGUCCCAAUACUUUUCUUCCAAUGGACUAGUUGUGUUCUUUGAUCUUGUGCAACCUCUUUAGCCGAUGAUAGCCCGCGGAUAGGUGUGGAAACCCAUCUAUAUUGCACCCAGUACGACACAGAAAAAAAGCCCAGGGCCUAGGGUCGGGUGGGGCUCGUUCGGGUGCACAACGUUGCGCCAAAAACGGUCCAAAAAUGGCCAAGGCUUUACCAUACGAAAAAUCGGCCGAUUUUUAACCAUGUGAGAAACGUCCCGAAAAUUCACAGAUAACUACUAGGAGGCCUCACUCUGAGUAAUAUCAAAGUUUUUUCCCACAAGAACCGCUCGGAGAUGCCCGGACUCAGUUUUUAUUUUCGUCCCAAUACUUUUCUUCCAAUGGACUAGUUGUGUUCUUUGAUCUUGUGCAACCUCUUUAGGCCGAUGAUAGCCCGCGAUAGUGUGGAAACCCAUCUAUAUUGCACCCAGUACGACACAGAAAAAAAGCCCAGGGCCUAGGGGUCGGGUGGGCUCGUUCGGGGUGCACAACGGUUGCGCCAAAAACGGUCCAAAAAUGGCCAAGCUUUACCAUACGAAAAAUCGGCCGAUUUUUUAACCAUGUGAGAAACGUCCCGAAAAUUCACAGAUAACUACUAGAGGCCUCACUCUGAGUAAUAUCAAAGUUUUUUCCCACAAAACCGCUCGAGAUGCCCGACUCAGUUUUUAUUUUCGUCCCAAUACUUUUCUUCCAAUGGACUAGUUGUGUUUCUUUGAUCUUGUGCAACCUCUUUAGGCCGAUGAUAGCCCGCGGAUAGGUGUGGAAACCCAUCUAUAUUGCACCCAGUACGACACAAAAAAAAAGCCCAGGCCUAGGGGUCGGGUGGGGCUCGUUCGGGUGCACAACGGUUGCGCCACAACGGUCCAAAAAUGGCCAAGGCUUUACCAUACGAAAAAUCGGCCGAUUUUUAACCAUGUGAGAAACGUCCCGAAAAUUCACAGAUAACUACUAGGAGCCUCACUCUGAGUAAUAUCAAAGUUUUUUCCCACAAGAACCGCUC